GAUGAACGCUGGCGGCGUGCUUAACACAUGCAAGUCGAACGGAAAGGCUCCUGCUUGCAGGGGUACUCGAGUGGCGAACGGGUGAGUAACACGUGGGUGAUCUGCCCUGCACUUCGGGAUAAGCCUGGGAAACUGGGUCUAAUACCGGAUAGGACGAUGGUUUGGAUGCCAUUGUGGAAAGUUUUUCGGUGUGGGAUGAGCUCGCGGCCUAUCAGCUUGUUGGUGGGGGAAUGGCCUACCAAGGCGUCGACGGGUCGCCGGCCUGGGAGGGUGUACGGCCCCAUUGGGACUGAGAUACGGCCCAGACUCCUACGGGAGGCAGCAGGGGGGAAUAUUGCACAAUGGGCGCAAGCCUGAUGCAGCGACGCCGCGUGGGGGAUGACGGCCUUCGGGUUGGAAACUCCUUUCGCUAGGGACGAAGCGUUUUGUGACGGUACCUGGAGAAGAAGCACCGGCUAACUACGUG
This 466-nucleotide ribosomal RNA is filed under the name uncultured bacterium. RNAcentral describes it as "partial 16S ribosomal RNA". It matches the Rfam family "Bacterial small subunit ribosomal RNA", at positions 28 to 507 of the family's 1533-position model. The record is from RNAcentral.